GGUGAAAUUCCUGGCGGGGGGAGCAGGAGGUGGCGGCGCUGAGGGCUCGGAGCAGGAGGCGGAGGGCGGCUCGGAGCCACGGCCGCGCUGCCCUGCCCGGGACCCUGCGUGCUGUGGCGGCCGGCGCCGAGCCAGACCCCCGGCGGGCGUGGAGCGGACGGGCUGAGGGACGCUCGCCGCCACCUCUCGCAGCGCCAGGAGCCGCGCCGUCCCCGCCGCCGCUGGGACUCCCUCCCCGGGCAGAGCGGGGGAGAAUGACGGAGCUCCAGUCCGCCUUGCUACUGCGGAGACAACUAGCAGAGCUCAACAAAAAUCCAGUGGAAGGCUUUUCAGCGGGCUUAAUAGAUGACAAUGAUCUUUAUCGAUGGGAAGUCCUUAUUAUUGGUCCUCCAGAUACACUAUAUGAAGGUGGUGUUUUCAAGGCUCAUCUUACUUUUCCAAAAGACUACCCACUGAGGCCGCCAAAAAUGAAAUUCAUCACAGAAAUCUGGCAUCCGAAUGUUGACAAGAACGGCGAUGUCUGCAUUUCAAUUCUUCACGAGCCUGGAGAAGACAAAUAUGGCUAUGAAAAACCUGAGGAACGCUGGCUUCCCAUUCACACAGUGGAAACGAUCAUGAUUAGUGUUAUUUCUAUGCUGGCAGAUCCCAAUGGUGAUUCUCCUGCUAAUGUUGAUGCAGCGAAAGAAUGGAGAGAAGACAGAAAUGGAGAAUUUAAAAGAAAAGUUGCCCGCUGUGUAAGAAAAAGCCAAGAAACUGCUUUUGAGUGACACUUAUUCAGCAGCUAGUAGCUUCACUUUUUUCAGGGUGAUGAGUUUGGAUUUAUCCAUCUUCUGUUCAGAGGUCUCCAAUUGAGAAACAUGGCACUGUUUUUUUUCCUGCACUCUACCCACCUAUUGCUGGACUUCUGUUGUUACAAGUUGGCAAACACUGGCUGGAACUGGGCUGCAAUAAAACAUGCCAGUUAUCAAUGCUGACAAGAGCCUAACAAGUGCCAACACAAGAUGAUUACGCAUUUUGAAAUCUAAUGAACUGCUUUAACCUUCAGGAAGAAUUGUAAAGAUGUGUACAUAGCACAACAUGAUCCGGAUAAUAUAUAUACUGUUCAUGUACAUCCACAAAUACACAUUGUACCAAAUAAUGCUGUCUGUAGUUAGGGAUAGAAUUGUGUAAAUUCUAAAGAUUUUAGCAGGUUUUUUCUCUCCCUAUUCAUUGUUUCCUGAGUUAAAAAAAAAACAACAACUUGUGAAGCAUGUCAAAACCAAUUAGGAUACUAAGUUGGUUUUUUUGGUUUUGUUUUUUUUUCCUCCCACUUUAAUUUUCCUUUGACCCACCAAGGCUUAAUUAAAAUUUCUUGCUUAUUCAA
This is a non-coding RNA of Agelaius phoeniceus (red-winged blackbird), 1363 nucleotides long. NCBI's taxonomy places the organism in Eukaryota, Metazoa, Chordata, Aves, Passeriformes, Icteridae. The record is from RefSeq and is a predicted model, not a curated record.